This 74-nucleotide transfer RNA is filed under the name Patescibacteria group bacterium. RNAcentral describes it as "tRNA-Val". It matches the Rfam family "tRNA". Rfam says of the family: Transfer RNA (tRNA) molecules are approximately 80 nucleotides in length. Their secondary structure includes four short double-helical elements and three loops (D, anti-codon, and T loops). The record is from RNAcentral.
GGGCUCGUAGCUCAGCUGGUUAGAGCGUUACGUUGACAUCGUAAAGGUCGCCCGUUCGAGUCGGGCCGAGCCCA